Molecule: ribosomal RNA, 440 nt
Filed under: uncultured bacterium
Lineage: Bacteria
Description: partial 16S ribosomal RNA
Rfam family: Bacterial small subunit ribosomal RNA
Source: RNAcentral
CUACGGGGGGCAGCAGUGAGGAAUAUUGGACAAUGGGGGCAACCCUGAUCCAGCCAUGCCGCGUGAGUGAAGAAGGCCUUAGGGUUGUAAAGCUCUUUCAAUGGUGAAGAUAAUGACGGUAGCCAUACAAGAAGCCCCGGCUAAAUUCGUGCCAGCAGGCCGCGGUAAUACGAAUGGGGCAAGCGUUGUUCGGAAUCACUGGGCUUAAAGCGUGCGCAGGCGGUUAUGAAAGUCAGAAGUGAAAUCCCAGGGCUCAACCCUGGAACUGCUUUUGAAACUCCAUAGCUAGAAUCCGGGAGAGGUUGGGAGAAUUCCUAGUGUAGAGGUGAAAUUCGCAGAUAUUAGGAGGAAUACCAGUGGCGUAGGCGCCCAACUGGACCGGUAUUGACGCUCAUGUACGAAAGCGUGGGGAGCAAACAGGAUUAGAUACCCUAGUAGUC